UGCACUAAUACAACAACUCUGAAGACUAAUGUUGAAUCCACAAAUUCUUCUGGAGAGAAUGCUCCAACACCAAGCACCAAUCUAUCUCAGAUUCCAUCAAAAGAUAUUUCUUUGGUACAGUCUAGCCAUCUAGAUACUAAUUUAGAAUCAAAAACUUAUUCUAAUGAAGGGAAUGCUCCAAUAUCAAGCUCCAAUCUGUUUGAUCAGAAUCCAUCAACGAGAUCUACUUCUUUGAUACAGAUUAGUCAAUCAUCAAGUAAUUUAUCUUCAACUAAUUCAUAUAAUAACCGUAAAUCCUUUAGAGGAACUCGAGCUGGCAAAAUUACUAAAGAAUAUCACCACGCCAAAAGCUUCUCUAUCUUCUUGUGGAGUUUGUUGAAUGAAUGUCAUUCCAGACAUAAUACAUGAAAUAUUAAACUAAUAAAAACAAUCAUGUUUUUUAUUAUUUUGUAAAAAAACAGUAGUAUUGAGA
Molecule: long non-coding RNA, 472 nt
Organism: Phymastichus coffea
Lineage: Eukaryota; Metazoa; Arthropoda; Insecta; Hymenoptera; Eulophidae
Exons: 3
Source: RefSeq, a predicted model, not a curated record